This 65-nucleotide transfer RNA is filed under the name Dipodomys ordii (Ord's kangaroo rat). It matches the Rfam family "tRNA". From Rfam's summary of the family: Transfer RNA (tRNA) molecules are approximately 80 nucleotides in length. The record is from Rfam by way of RNAcentral. Lineage: Eukaryota; Metazoa; Chordata; Mammalia; Rodentia; Heteromyidae.
GGUGGCUUAGUGGUAGAGUACUUGCCUAGCAAGCAUGAAGCCCUGGGUUCAAUUCCUCAGUACCA